Molecule: long non-coding RNA, 257 nt
Organism: Corticium candelabrum
Lineage: Eukaryota; Metazoa; Porifera; Homoscleromorpha; Homosclerophorida; Plakinidae
Exons: 3
Source: RefSeq, a predicted model, not a curated record
GUACCUUGGGGUAUUUUGCUGCAGCAAUGGAUUUCAGUAUACUUUGACACAUAAUUUAUGUCAUCAAGACUCAUGUCACAAACAAUUGGUUAUUCAUAAUACAUAGUAACAAGAGGUGUGAUCAACUAUGCAGUUUACAUUGUGCAAGUUAGUGGUCCAAGUUGAGAGAGUAGUGAACAGUCUACCAUCUUCCUGCAUUUUGUUGACCUUUGGAGAUACUGUCUUUCAAAGAGACAGAAUAGCAAUUUCUAUUGCCG